GCUUCGGUGGUGUAGUGGUUAGAGCACGCGUCCCCGCAUAGGAUGAAACGCGAGAUCGAUUCCCCGCUUGAGGUC
Molecule: non-coding RNA, 75 nt
Organism: Parelaphostrongylus tenuis
Lineage: Eukaryota; Metazoa; Nematoda; Chromadorea; Rhabditida; Metastrongylidae
Source: the annotation of a GenBank genome assembly